UUGAAGCAAUGCUGUGUUACAGGACUUUAUGAUGAUCUCUCACAGGACUGGUCAUGUCAGCCGUAAUUAUUCUUUCCAAUGUUUUUAUAUUUAUUUUAUUUUAUUUGAUACAGCUAUAAUAAUUAUAGCAUGUUAGCAAAGUUUGACUGGAACAUUUUUAAUCUAAAGUUUUAAAAAAAACACCACCUGUUAUUCUUAAAAGCAUACAAGUGUCAUAAAAGUGGUUUAAUUGAUAUAAACACCAAUUGACAUUAUCUCACUGUUUUGUGAAUGUUGUGUUAUAAAUUGUGAAUUGAUAGUUGAUUGGUUUGAAGCCAGGCCUUACACUGCACAGACUAAAACACAUUUGUGAGAGAAGUCAUUAGCUCUGGAGAAAGACUCUAGAGGAAGAAAACACAUUUACUGCAACAAAAGAUGAAUUCUAGAGUCUCUGAGAAGUACACAUGCUAAUGGAGUCUCCUGGGCAAGUCCUUUGCCUCUGUAACUUUUUCUAAAUUCUUGCAUAAUGAAAUUGUUUAUUGCAGUAUUUUAACAAUUUUACUUUGUACAGAUGAUCUCAUCAACCAAAUGAGGGGUUUUGACCAAGUGAUGCUCUUGAAAGGAGUGAAAGAAGAGGAUGUGGUAAAUUGUCUUCAGAGAAAAAGCUUCUCAAAAGAUCUUAAAACAGCUUGAAGAAUGGUCUGGGAUCUUAGGACUGGGAGAUCUCACUUGCACCCAGUUAACCUCCAUAGAGAACAUUUAUCAGAAGCGCUGUCUGGGUAGGGCAAGAAACAUAAUCAAGGAUGCCUCUCACCCUAACCAUGGACCUUUCACCCUCCUUCCAUCCGGCAGGCGUUACAGGAGCCUACGCUCUCGAACUAGUAGACUCAGGAAGAGCUUCUUCCCCGAGGCUGUGACACUCCUGAACACCGCACCACCAAUCUAACCUGCACCUGCUCUUUUACUGCACUGGUCACAGUACUUUACAUACAUGUAUUGCACUACUCAUAUUUUGCACAGACUGCACAUGGUUAAAUCCA
This 1019-nucleotide long non-coding RNA is filed under the name Carassius auratus (goldfish). Its description in RNAcentral is "lncRNA (ENSCARG00000031176.1)". Lineage: Eukaryota; Metazoa; Chordata; Actinopteri; Cypriniformes; Cyprinidae. The record is from RNAcentral.